CCCUUCUCAUACGUAACACCGCACGCCCCCGUCACGUGAUCUGGCGCUAUCACCACGGGUGCCCUCGCCGGAACCGGUCGCUCCAGGGUUUGGUUGAUGGCCCUCGAGGACGGUAGCGGGUUGACGGUGACGGGAGAAGGUUUUGGAGUCUCGGCACAGACGGUGGCGCCCAUUGGUGCCCACCCGCCCGUGGCUGCUGUUGGGUUUCCAAUGAGUCCCUCCGAGCACUAGAGUCACCUUUCUAUGAGAGUGAGAGAGAGAGAGUACUCUCUGUGAGGAAUAAUACAUUGCCUUUGAUGUGAAUGCAAUUUAGUAGGCAAACUCUCCAUCCCAACUGGCCAUGAUAAUCCAUGACUCAGAAAGUAAUUGCAAAAGGAAUCCCAUGUUUCCAGUUCUAGAUGUGUGUCUUGUGAAUCUUUUGGCAGUCCAUUGAGAGGCCUAACUUUCCUCUAUUACUUGAACAAAAAUGUUAUCCUCCAACACAAUGCAACUGUCAUAUUAGUAUACUUAAACCUUCUACCUCCUUUGUGUUCCCUUAUAAGUACCUCCCAACCCUCCAUAAGCUCUCCUCAUCCCUGCAAUCUUUCUGUUGCAACAACACUUAAGAAGAGCUUCCUUGCACACGAUGAGGUCAUUCCUUCUGAUAAUAUUCUUGAUGGCUUUAACCACUUCUCUUGCCGCAGCAGAUACUCACAAAGGCGAGCAGGAUCAGACGACUUCAUUCUCCGACGAAGCUAGUCACAUGCUGGGUCGGCACAGAUGGAGAGGUUCCUUGUCGUGCAAGGAGCACCGAAACCUGUGCAAACUCCCAAGAAGUCCCGGCCCGACCUGCUGCGGGAACCUUUGCGUGGACCUGAAGACUGACUUGUUCAAUUGUGGCCGCUGCGGGGUGCAGUGCAAGUUUGCCGAGGUUUGCUGCAAAGGUAAAUGCCUGAAUCCGUUUCACGACGAUGAGAACUGCGGCGGGUGUGGCAAGAAGUGCAGCAAGGGAAGCCAUUGCAGAUAUGGGAUGUGCAGCUAUGCGUAGAAGCCGGCUGAUGAGUGUUGGGUUUGAUCAUUGAACUGUGUUGUUGCUGUUGCUUGUGGCUGAAGCCCUGGUUUAAUAAUGUUCACCACGUCCUUAGUUGUAUUCAUUGCGAAGAUAAAUAUCAAGGAACAUCUGCAUUGUUGUGUCCAUGAACAACAUUAGUUUGCUCUCAGUGAUAGAACAUUGACCAGAAAGAUCUGCAAUCUUUGUUGUUAACAGAAUAUGUCUACAACAACAACAACAA
Musa acuminata AAA Group (dessert banana) is the source of this 1271-nucleotide long non-coding RNA. RefSeq lists it as uncharacterized. The record is from RefSeq and is a predicted model, not a curated record. The transcript is spliced from 2 exons. NCBI's taxonomy places the organism in Eukaryota, Viridiplantae, Streptophyta, Magnoliopsida, Zingiberales, Musaceae.